Molecule: ribosomal RNA, 531 nt
Filed under: uncultured bacterium
Lineage: Bacteria
Description: partial 16S ribosomal RNA
Source: RNAcentral
GGUAUUACCGCGGCUGCUGGCAUGGAGUUAGCCGGAUCUUCUUCUGUAGGUAACGUCAUUUCGCCAAAGUAGUAACUUGGUUAAUUCCUCCCUAUUGAAAGUGCUUUACAACCGUAAGGCGUUCUUCACACACGCGGCAUGGCUGCAUCAGGCUUGCGCCCAUUGUGCAAUAUUCCCAACUGCUGCCUCCCGUAGGAGUAUGGACCGUGUCUCAGUUCCAGUGUGGCUGAUCUUCCUCUCAGAACAGCUAUGGAUCGUCGCCUUGGUAGGCCUUUACCCUACCAACUAGCUAAUCCAACGCAGGCUCCUCCAAUAGUGAGAGGUCUCCGAAGAGUUCCCCCCCUUUCCCCCUUAGGGCGUAUGCGGUAUUAAUCCGAGUUUCCUCGGGCUAUCCCCCGCUACUGGGUAGAUUCCUACGCGUUACUCACCCGUCCGCCGCUCGACGCCUGGGAGCAAGCUCCCAUCGUUUCCGCUCGACUUGCAUGUUUAAGGCCUGCCGCCAACGUUCAAUCUGAGCCAGGAUCAAACUCU